AAGAAACAAAGGCAAAGCCUCAUACAAACUUUAGCUUUACCAUCAAAGCCUUGAGAAGAAAGAAGAAGCUUGGUUAGUGUUUUGGAGUCAAAUAUUACUAGAUGUCAUGUGUAUGAGUGAGUAUGACAACUAGAACCAUAACCGGAUCUUAAAAACCUAAGUAUUGAAUCUUUGUUAGAAGAUACAAAGACAAAGACUCAUACGGACUUCGACUACACUAUCAAAGCUUUGAGAAGCAAGAAGAAGCUUGGUUAGUGUUUUGGAUUCGAAUAUGACUUGAUGUCAUGUGUAUGACUCAGUAUAAACACUAGAACCGCAACGGAUCUUAAAAGCAUAAGUAUUGUAUCAUUGUUAGAAGAUACAAUGACGAAGACUCAUACGGACUUCGACUACACCAUCAAAGCUUGGAGAAGCAAGAAGCAGUUGGUUAGUGUUUUGGAGUCGAAUAUGACUUGAUGUCAUGUGUAUGAGUGAGUAUAAAAACUAGAACCGCAACGGAUCUUAAAAGCCUAAAUAUUGUAUCCUUGUUAGAAGAUACAUAGACAAAGUCUCAUACGGAAUUCGGCUAAACCAUCAAAGCUUUUAGAAGCAAGAAGAAGCUUGGUUAGUGUUUUGGAGUGAAAUCUAACUAGAUGUCAUGUGUAUGAGUGAGUAUACCAACUAGAACCACAAUUAGAAUUUUAAAAGCCUAAGUAUUAUAUCCUUUUUAGAAGAUACAAAGACAAACACUCAUACGGACUUUGGUUACACCAUCAAAGCGUUGAGAAGCAAGAAGAAGCUUGGUUAGUGUUUUGGAGUCGAAUAUGACUUGAUGUGAUGUGUAUGAUUGAGUAUAAGAAAUUAAACCGCAACCGGAUCUUAAAAGCCUAGGUAUUGUUUCCUUGUUA
This 887-nucleotide small RNA is filed under the name Arabidopsis thaliana (thale cress). Its description in RNAcentral is "ATSL269630". The record is from RNAcentral. Lineage: Eukaryota; Viridiplantae; Streptophyta; Magnoliopsida; Brassicales; Brassicaceae.